Long non-coding RNA from Monomorium pharaonis (pharaoh ant), 2530 nucleotides. RefSeq lists it as uncharacterized. The transcript has 3 exons. The record is from RefSeq and is a predicted model, not a curated record. Lineage: Eukaryota; Metazoa; Arthropoda; Insecta; Hymenoptera; Formicidae.
UAUUCUGCUUUUUUUCUUAUAUAUUUCUAGUUUUUCUUUAAUUUCAAGUUCAGUAAGAUGGUGAUCUAAUUCCCAAGUGUCGACCAACUGAUUAUAUUCUAUCUUGUCCAAUAAAUCUUCGUUACUAAAUAGGAGAUCUAUAUUUGAGUCUUUUUGACUUUUUUGACCCUCUUCUCCCAUUCUUGAUAAUGUAUUCAUGUUUAAUAUGUACAUACCUUUUUCUUCAAAUUCCUCUAGCAAUCUUUUUCCAUUCUUGUUUGUAUCUGAACAGUUCCAAACUAUGUUAUGCGCGUUCAUGUCACCUAACACAAUUAAAUCCUGUUUCUUAGGGAUGUUUUUAACUAUACUGGACCAAGUCCUUGCUGAAUUUGUUCUACCCGAUCUUUUGUAUAUUCUCACGACUUUUUUGUUCUUUUUCUUGAUUUUUCUACCUAUAAUAUUUAUAUUGUUAUACUUUGCAUUUCUUUCUUCUCCUAAAUUAACCUUUUCUACCUUUAUCUCUUCCUUGAGGAAAAUGGCUAUUUCUCCAGCUCCUCCCUCACCUUCGUUAUAUUUAUUUUGUAUUAUUGUUUUGUACCGUGGUACUUUAAAUUGUUAUUUUCUUAUGCUUUUUAUUUUUGUUAUUAUAGCGAUACCAUACUUUUGGAUUUCUUCUCCAUAGUUCAGCAUAUUUGUUUGUCUAUUUUCUUGCGUUCCAUAACACUUCUUUAAUUUCCGUCAACAUGUUCUGGCUUGUAUUGCUGAAAAUUAGAUCAAAUUAAAUUAAUCAAAUCAAAUUAGAUUAAUUAAAUCAAGUAUCUCUUUUUCCAGUUCGUUUUCUUCUUCUAAUACUAUGUUUUCCUGGACUUCUCUUGUAUCCCGGUCCCAUUGUUUAUUAGAAAUAAUGCCUCCCGCAAAAUCUACUUUUCUAUACUUUUCCCUUUCUUUGUGAGUGAAAUCGUCAUUUUGUAUACUAUUCUUGAUGGAUCUCUGAGCUCUCUAAAGCCCUCUCUAAGGGCGGAAUUUAUACACAGUUCUUGAGACUUGUCUUAAGCAGAGCUCGACUUGAGCCAAGAUCGACUUGAGACCCAAGUUCAUCUUAAGAUAGCUUUACAUUCAUAGACGGACCUUAUAAACUCGAAUUUGAACUUAAGAUUGCCUUGACGAAGCUUAUGCUUGAGCAUCCGACUUCGGAAAUAUUCGGGAUUUCUAGUGAAUUCCUACAAAUGUACCAAUAGCAUUAAAGAUACAAGUGCAGAUAUUUUACGUAGAUAAUAUGUUAAAUAAAUAAUUGUAUUAAAACUUUUUGCUUUUUUGUCAGGUUAUUAUUUCCGAUCAGAUCUGAAAAUUAAUUGUAAAAAUAAAUCUAAUUAAAUAAAAGUACAAUUCCAAUAAACAUCAAAUAACAUUACAUCUGAUUAUCAUUUCUAAACAAAUUAAGCCAUAUAACAUAUGUUGUACAUAACAUUAUAUUAUAUUAUUGAGUGAGAAAUUAUAACAUUGACGUAAUGUUGUUGUUAUUCAUAAUUAUGCGAAUUUAUUUAAAUGGAAAAAUAUAACCUUAAGAUAUAACCAUGUUUGUGUGAAAAUUCUUUGUGAUUACAUUUUUUUGUUAUUCUUAUUUAUAAUAAAUAAUUCUUUCAGAAUGGCAACGCUUAAGAGAACUAUAUAUUUGGAUUUAGAAAAACAAGUAUUCCUGGAAAUUUUGAAAAAAUACAAACACGUAAUUGAAUCAAAAAGUACAAAUACGUCUACGCUGAAAGACAAAUCAAAAGCUUGGUCGAUUAUUACAGAACAAUAUAAUAAUUCUUCUUUAACUACUAAGAGAGACGUACAACAGUUGAAAAAGUACUGGUUUAAUUUAAAACAACAAACUAGAAAUAUAUUAACUGCUGAAAGACAAUCACGAUUUCUAACUGGAGAACCACAGGAAAAUAUAAGUGAAGUUGAUCCGAAUAUUCAGGAUAUUAUUUCUGAUUUAAUGACAACGGCACCAACCAUUUCUUCAAGCAAUCUUUUCACCCAAGAAUCUACAAGUAAUUUAAAUAUCCUUAAAUAAUAUAUGUCUUUGUAACAAAUUAAAGAAAUUGUAUUUGACAAAAGCAAUAAUUAAAUGGAAUGUUUGUUUUUUAGAUCGACAAAAAAAAGUUUAAAAAGCAAUCCAACAGAAUUCUAAAAAUAUUGAUGAUAUUAUUAACGAAGAACAUCCAAAAAAGCAGGAAAUAUUAACUUCACCAUCCAUCGAAGUAGUAUUUGAUACAACAGGCGAAGAAAUAAACAACAAUAUAAAAGUUGCAUCAGACAUUGACGAUUCAACAUCUAUAGAGAGAGAAUCCAACAGCCAAUCUAGUGGUAUGUCAAAUGAUAUUUAAAUAUUAUUUUAAAUAAAAUGUACAAGUGUAUGUGUUCUUUUUUAACAAUGUAUACAAAAAUUUUACUUUAGAUAUAUUUAUUGAAAAAGAAAAUGAAGCCUUAUUUGAUUUAAAGAAAAAUAAUAAACAUAUAAAUGACAAUUUGUCUUCUAAUUUAAAGAAGCAAAAAACGGAUAGAA